UGAGGAAUAUUGGUCAAUGGGCGCGAGCCUGAACCAGCCAAGUAGCGUGAAGGAUGACUGCCCUACGGGUUGUAAACUUCUUUUAUAAAGGAAUAAAGUGAGGCACGUGUGCCUUUUUGUAUGUACUUUAUGAAUAAGGAUCGGCUAACUCCGUGCCAGCAGCCGCGGUAAUACGGAGGAUCCGAGCGUUAUCCGGAUUUAUUGGGUUUAAAGGGUGCGUAGGUUGUUUUUUGAAGUCAGCGGUGAAAGUUUGUGGCUCAACCAUAAAAUUGCCGUUGAAACUGGAAGACUUGAGUGUGUUUGAGGUAGGCGGAAUGCGUGGUGUAGCGGUGAAAUGCAUAGAUAUCACGAAGAACUCCUAUUGCGAAGGCAGCUCACUAAACUGCAACUGACAUUGAGGCUCGAAAGUGUGGGUAUCAAACAGGAUUAGAUACC
This 435-nucleotide ribosomal RNA is filed under the name uncultured bacterium. RNAcentral's name for it is "bacterial SSU rRNA". It matches the Rfam family "Bacterial small subunit ribosomal RNA", at positions 355 to 786 of the family's 1533-position model. The record is from RNAcentral.